GGCGGCAUGCCUUACACAUGCAAGUCGAACGGCAGCACGGGAGCAAUCCUGGUGGCGAGUGGCGAACGGGUGAGUAAUAUAUCGGAACGUGCCCAGUUGUGGGGGAUAGCCCGGCGAAAGCCGGAUUAAUACCGCAUACGACCUGAGGGUGAAAGCGGGGGAUCGCAAGACCUCGCGCAAUUGGAGCGGCCGAUAUCAGAUUAGCUAGUUGGUGGGGUAAAAGCCUACCAAGGCGACGAUCUGUAGCUGGUCUGAGAGGACGACCAGCCACACUGGGACUGAGACACGGCCCAGACUCCUACGGGAGGCAGCAGUGGGGAAUUUUGGACAAUGGGCGCAAGCCUGAUCCAGCCAUGCCGCGUGUGGGAAGAAGGCCUUCGGGUUGUAAACCACUUUUGUCAGGGAAGAAACGGCCUUUAUUAAUACCGAAGGUUAAUGACGGUACCUGAAGAAUAAGCACCGGCUAACUACGUGCCAGCAGCCGCGGUAAUACGUAGGGUGCAAGCGUUAAUCGGAAUUACUGGGCGU
RNAcentral lists this ribosomal RNA (528 nucleotides) under uncultured beta proteobacterium. RNAcentral describes it as "bacterial SSU rRNA". It matches the Rfam family "Bacterial small subunit ribosomal RNA", at positions 38 to 561 of the family's 1533-position model. The record is from RNAcentral. Lineage: Bacteria; Pseudomonadati; Pseudomonadota; Betaproteobacteria.